AGAGUAGGAAAAUUUUAUAAAUGUACCUUUUGUAUCAGGGGAAUUUAAAAGUUUAAUUAUCUUAUAAUCGAUUUUACUUGAGCUUUUUAAGUGACUUUAGUGGGAUUGAAGGACUGUAAAUAUUAAGAGGUAAAAGGGGUUCGGCGGUAAUAGUAUCUAGUUGUUUUAAUUAUUUUAAAGGGCUAAACCUUUAAAAUUUUUAUGAUUAGUUAAUUAUAUGAUAAAAGCUAGGCUUUAAAUUAGCUAUGUUUGUAUAUUGUUUUAAAUAAUUUUAGGUUUACUGGUAGGUAUAAAUUAAUAGACUAUGUUUAUUAGCGGUAUUUAGCAAAAAUAAUGAAUUUAUUGAAUAAUAAACGGAACUUUAAAAUAACUAGGAGUAAGUUAGAUAGUUUAACAAAAACAUUUCUUUUAGGGUAAUAGAAAGUAAGGCCUGCCCAGUGAUAAAUAAACGGCUGCGGUAUUUUGACUGUGCUAAGGUAGCAUAAUCAUUUGUUUUUUAAUUGAUAACUGGAAUGAAGGGUUAAACUAACUUGUUAAGUUUGUAGGGUUAAAAAAUAUUUUUAAGUAAAGGUAAGAAUUCUUUUAUAAUCUAGGGGACGAUAAGACCCUAGAAGCUUGACAAAGGGGUUUAUAUUAGUGGUAAAAUUAUGUUUGUUUUACUGGGGCGGUACUAGUGUAUACACCAUUAUUUUAUUUAAGGAUCCUUUUAAUAGAGAUAAGUAGGGAAAGUUACUCUAGGGAUAACAGUACAAUAUUUUUGGAGAGAUCUUAUCGAUAAAUAUGUUUGUAACCUCGAUGUUGAAUUAAGAUAUCUACCUAGAGCAGAAGACAUAGUAGAAGGUUUGUUCAACC
This 852-nucleotide ribosomal RNA is filed under the name Gammarus sp. 6 ZH-2007. Its description in RNAcentral is "partial 16S ribosomal RNA". The record is from RNAcentral. Lineage: Eukaryota; Metazoa; Arthropoda; Malacostraca; Amphipoda; Gammaridae.